This is a long non-coding RNA of Peromyscus maniculatus bairdii (prairie deer mouse), 665 nucleotides long. RefSeq lists it as uncharacterized. The record is from RefSeq and is a predicted model, not a curated record. Lineage: Eukaryota; Metazoa; Chordata; Mammalia; Rodentia; Cricetidae.
UGUUAGCAUCUUCGUGGAUCCCCAGGGUGUGUGGUAUACUCGCCGCAAAUACUGAACAUGGCUCCUCUUCUCAAGAAAUCAAAUAGAAUCAAAUCGGGAUGAACUGGGAGCUCAGGAGACACUUGAAGCAGAGUUCAAGAAGGCUGAGACAACUGUGGAGCCAUGGGGAUGGAAGGCAGAAAAUUACCGAAUGUAUGAGGCCGACCGUGGAGAAAGUGUGAGUCCGCCUGUGACCCCUGUGACCCCUGUGACCCUGCCCUCGCUCCCACGGUGCCAGUGACAGGUCAGGGAGGUUUAGCAGCCGCAAGAGAAGACUGUACAUCCUCCUUUCAGAAUAACCCGAAACAUCUUGAACAGGAUGGAUUCAGAACCAUCAACUCUGAGGACAAAACGACUCUGAUGAGGAAGGGCCUUUACUGCCCUCACGUGGUGAAUGCAGGACAGCGCUGAAGGAAUCAAAUGGGACUUGUUCUACGUUGUAGGAGGCUGGAAGCCAUUCUAGUUGAAGUCGAUGAGAGGGACAUCUUUGGUGAAAUGCUGACAUCUUGUGGUAGCUGUGAGAAGAACUGUGGCAUUUCCAGGCAUGUGAGCCACCUAGACCCUUGAAGUCGGAAUUCAUUCUUAGGAAAACUGUGACUCCAGUUGAAUAAACCUUGGCAUUGGUA